Molecule: transfer RNA, 67 nt
Filed under: Marmota monax (woodchuck)
Lineage: Eukaryota; Metazoa; Chordata; Mammalia; Rodentia; Sciuridae
Description: tRNA.Ala
Rfam family: tRNA
About the family: Transfer RNA (tRNA) molecules are approximately 80 nucleotides in length. Their secondary structure includes four short double-helical elements and three loops (D, anti-codon, and T loops).
Source: RNAcentral
GGUUGUGGCUCAGUGGGAGAGCACUCGCCUAGCAAGCAUGAGGCACUGGGUUCAAUCCUCAGCACCA